Molecule: ribosomal RNA, 429 nt
Filed under: Gemmatimonadota bacterium
Lineage: Bacteria; Pseudomonadati; Gemmatimonadota
Description: Gemmatimonadetes bacterium partial 16S ribosomal RNA
Rfam family: Bacterial small subunit ribosomal RNA
Source: RNAcentral
UAGGGAAUCUUCGGCAAUGGACGAAAGUCUGACCGAGCAACGCCGCGUGAGUGAAGAAGGUUUUCGGAUCGUAAAACUCUGUUGUUAGAGAAGAACAAGGACGUUAGUAACUGAACGUCCCCUGACGGUAUCUAACCAGAAAGCCACGGCUAACUACGUGCCAGCAGCCGCGGUAAUACGUAGGUGGCAAGCGUUGUCCGGAUUUAUUGGGCGUAAAGCGAGAGCAGGCGGUUUCUUAAGUCUGAUGUGAAAGCCCCCGGCUCAACCGGGGAGGGUCAUUGGAAACUGGGAGACUUGAGUGCAGAAGAGGAGAGUGGAAUUCCAUGUGUAGCGGUGAAAUGCGUAGAUAUAUGGAGGAACACCAGUGGCGAAGGCGGCUCUCUGGUCUGUAACUGACGCUGAGGCUCGAAAGCGUGGGGAGCAAACAGG